AUCGCUUCUCGGCUCUCUGAGCUAAGAUCAAAUGUGUAGUAUCUGUUCUUAUCAGCUUAAUAUCUGAUACAAUCCCCAUAGGGGAUUCAGAAUAUUAAUGCGAUUUUUGGGCAGCGGCGGGAGAUCGAAGCUUGCUUCGUCCCUGCCAAUUGGUCGACCUGACAUUGCAGUGAAGUCAGGUUUGGCCUUACUAAA
Molecule: small nuclear RNA, 195 nt
Organism: Formica exsecta
Lineage: Eukaryota; Metazoa; Arthropoda; Insecta; Hymenoptera; Formicidae
Product: U2 spliceosomal RNA
Exons: 1
Source: RefSeq, a predicted model, not a curated record